This is a long non-coding RNA of Oncorhynchus keta (chum salmon), 271 nucleotides long. RefSeq lists it as uncharacterized. Lineage: Eukaryota; Metazoa; Chordata; Actinopteri; Salmoniformes; Salmonidae. The transcript is spliced from 3 exons. The record is from RefSeq and is a predicted model, not a curated record.
GUUAACAGGACCUCCUGUGUAUAUCCCCCCUCUAGGUUAACAGCACCUCCUGUGUAUAUCCCCCCUCUAGGUUAACAGGACCUCCUGUGUAUAUCCCCCCUCUAGGUUAACAGCACCUCCUGUGUAUAUCCCCCCUCUAGGUUAACAGGACCUCCUGUGUAUAUCCCCCCUCUAGGUUAACAGGACCUCCUGUGUAUAUCCCCCCUCUAGGUUAACAGGACCUCCUGUGUAUAUCCCCCCUCUAGGUUAACAGGACCUCCUGUGUAUAUCC